RNAcentral lists this ribosomal RNA (466 nucleotides) under uncultured bacterium. RNAcentral describes it as "bacterial SSU rRNA". It matches the Rfam family "Bacterial small subunit ribosomal RNA", at positions 355 to 825 of the family's 1533-position model. The record is from RNAcentral.
UGAGGAAUAUUGGACAAUGGGCGCAAGCCUGAUCCAGCCAUGCCGCGUGCAGGAUGACGGUCCUAUGGAUUGUAAACUGCUUUUGUACAGGAAGAAACAGUUCUACGUGUAGAACCUUGACGGUACUGUAAGAAUAAGGAUCGGCUAACUCCGUGCCAGCAGCCGCGGUAAUACGGAGGAUCCAAGCGUUAUCCGGAAUCAUUGGGUUUAAAGGGUCCGUAGGCGGUUAGAUAAGUCAGUGGUGAAAGCCCAUCGCUCAACGGUGGAACGGCCAUUGAUACUGUCUGACUUGAAUUAUUAGGAAGUAACUAGAAUAUGUAGUGUAGCGGUGAAAUGCUUAGAGAUUACAUGGAAUACCAAUUGCGAAGGCAGGUUACUACUAAUGGAUUGACGCUGAUGGACGAAAGCGUGGUAGCGAACAGGAUUAGAUACCCCAGUAGUCCCUGAGCGGGCUGGCAAGGCGCAU